CUAUGGGGUUGAUAGGCCAGAACUGGAAGCGCAGUAAUGCGUGUAGGUGACUGGUACUAAUCGGUCGAGGGCUUACCACACA
This 82-nucleotide ribosomal RNA is filed under the name Tsukamurella asaccharolytica. Its description in RNAcentral is "Tsukamurella sp. HKU71 partial 23S ribosomal RNA". It matches the Rfam family "Bacterial large subunit ribosomal RNA", at positions 2845 to 2925 of the family's 2925-position model. The record is from RNAcentral. Lineage: Bacteria; Bacillati; Actinomycetota; Actinomycetes; Mycobacteriales; Tsukamurellaceae.